CAGGCCUAACACAUGCAAGUCGCACGGGCAGCUUCGGUUGUCAGUGGCGGACGGGUGAGUAUCGCGUAGGGAUUUAUCGUUGGGUGGGGGAUAACCUUGGGAAACUGGGGCUAAUACCGCAUGACGCCUGUGGGCCAAAGCAGCAAUGCGCCUGAUGAGGAGCCUGCGUCCGAUUAGCUUGUUGGUGGGGUAAAGGCCUACCAAGGCUGCGAUCGGUAGCUGGUCUGAGAGGAUGAUCAGCCACACUGGGACUGAGACACGGCCCAGACUCCUACGGGAGGCAGCAGUGGGGAAUAUUGGACAAUGGGCGCAAGCCUGAUCCAGCAAUGCCGCGUGGAUGAAGAAGGUUUUCGGAUUGUAAAGUCCUUUCGGCGGGGACGAUGAUGACGGUACCCGCAGAAGAAGCCCCGGCUAACUUCGUGCCAGCAGCCGCGGUAAU
RNAcentral lists this ribosomal RNA (439 nucleotides) under uncultured bacterium. RNAcentral describes it as "bacterial SSU rRNA". It matches the Rfam family "Bacterial small subunit ribosomal RNA", at positions 43 to 524 of the family's 1533-position model. The record is from RNAcentral.